AACUCAUCAUCUUCUUCUUCUGGUUAGUUCGAGGGCCAUGGUAGUGUCUUGGGUUCCUCUUCUUCGGGACCUACCAACCCAAUCCUCGCUCGGCCAACACGAGCUGUUGAUUCAAAUUCAGAGCCGAGACCUUGUUCGCUUGCCCCGGCAAAACCUAAACCAUCGCCUCAAAGCACACCGAAUUCUGAUCACCAAGUGAAGAGAUCGGAGUAAUUCGGACUCAAAUUUCAAACCGUCAAAUGGGUUUGAUCCAUUUGAUUCAUUAUAACUUCUGGGAAUAGAUCUGGAAAUGGGUAUUCCCUAAAUGUGUUCGAAUGCCCUGUUUGAGGUCGAUCGUAUGGGUCCGGAGAAGAGGUAUCAAUUCAUGUCGAGAGCUGUGUAGAUAGUCAUAGGACGGUCCAGAGUGGUGACGUUGAGGACGUUUCUGCGUUGCUCGGUGAUGACUGCGGGGUGGAGUCUCAGAGGUAGCUGGAGUCCCUCGCUGGUGCUUUUCUUUCUGGCAAGCCACCGGAGGGUUCAGUUGAGGUUGUUCUUAGAUUGCUGCGGAAUAUAGUUAGGGAACCAGAAAAUGCAAAGUUUCGCAGGGUUCGAGUGAACAACCCGAAGAUCCGGGCGGUCAUUGGUGAGGUUGUGGGAGGUGUUAAGUUGCUGGAGUGUGUCGGUUUUGAACUUCGAGAGGAAGAUGGGGAGAUGUGGGCAGUGCUGGAAGUUCCUACGGAGGGGCGAAUUCUUCUAAUUAAGCACGCAAUAUCAUUUGUGGAACCACCUAAAAAAGAAAAAUUGACUCCUGCUGCGCCGGUUGAGUUAGAUGAGCCAAUUGAGCCAAAGAAGGUCGACAGGCAGGGUAUCUUUCGAGGAUGAUAGUCGAUAUUGGCUGUUGGAUUCUCCAGGUGCUUUUUCUUGUAAUUUUUCUUUGAUUUUUUGGUUGGUUCCAAUGACUCCUUUCCACUGUAAAGUAAUUUGGAAGGUCAAAACCCCCCCAUAAAAUCAAAGUGUUUCUUUGGUUGGUUGUGCUUAAUAGGAUAAAUAUUAAUGACUUGCUACAAAUGAGGAGACCUUUAAAGGUUGUCCCCUAAUAUAUGUAUGCUUUGUUUUGAUUGUUUAGAAUUUGGUUCUCAUCUUUGCAUGGAAGAAUUGAAAUAACUUAUUCAAUUAUUUUGGAGAAAGCUAGGUUUGUUCUAGAACAGUGAAGGAGUUCUUGUUAACAUCUUUUGUGGGGUUAGGGAGGAGGAAGGAAGGAAUUUCUUUAUGGAAUUGUGCUUAAUUUUAAGUGUUAUGAGGAUUGUGGAAGGAAGGUAACUUGUGUAUUUUUUCAGGGAAGAAGAUUCCAUAUUGGUUGGUGUGGGAACAUGUGCUUUUUAUGGCUUUUUUGUGGUGUGUGAGCAAUGGAAAUUUUAAGGGGAUGUGCUUGAUAGAUGUUUAGUGGGAUUGGAAGUCCCUUCUACGGGUGUGUUGAUUUUAGUUUGCUGUAUUUUAUUUUUUGUUUCAUUUUUUUGGGGAUUCCUAGAUUCCUUUAAGGAUAUGUCUUCUCUCCUGAUUGUCCAUCCUUUUGAUAUCUAUCAAAAAAAUAUUUAUAAUUAUACAUAAACAGAAAUGAUCUUAAAUUCUAAGUCAAUCUGAUAAUUUGAUGAAUGCGUCAAAUAUUUGGCAAAAGGUAAAAAAGUAAAAUGAAUUUAAAACAAAAUUGUACUAAAGCAAAAAAAAGAAAAAGGAAGUGGUAUUGGGGACUCAAUCCAAUAUUCCAUUUCCUAAUGAAUUAAAUAUUUCAAUUGCCAUCUACAAAGGUAGCAUUUUAGUUGUCAUCCCAUAUCACAUUUUGUGUCCUAUGAUCAUUUUGUC
RNA transcript from Malania oleifera, 1839 nucleotides. It is a transcript of the gene named plant UBX domain-containing protein 2-like, with no coding region annotated. The transcript is spliced from 2 exons. NCBI's taxonomy places the organism in Eukaryota, Viridiplantae, Streptophyta, Magnoliopsida, Santalales, Ximeniaceae. The record is from RefSeq and is a predicted model, not a curated record.